AUAUCCGCAAACUUUGGUACGAGAAGUGGGACUCGAACCCACAAGGAAAUCAUUCCGCAGCAUUUUAAGUGCUG
Molecule: transfer RNA, 74 nt
Filed under: Escherichia phage vB_Eco_F25
Lineage: Duplodnaviria; Heunggongvirae; Uroviricota; Caudoviricetes; Pantevenvirales; Straboviridae
Description: tRNA-Ile
Source: RNAcentral